UACGGAGGGUGCAAGCGUUAUCCGGAUUCACUGGGUUUAAAGGGUGCGUAGGUGGGUUGGUAAGUCAGUGGUGAAAUCCCCGAGCUUAACUUGGGAACUGCCAUUGAUACUAUCUGUCUUGAAUAUCGUGGAGGUUAGCGGAAUAUGUCAUGUAGCGGUGAAAUGCUUAGAUAUGACAUAGAACACCCAUUGCGAAGGCAGCUAACUACACGAUCAUUGACACUGAGGCACGAAAGCGUGGGGAGCAAACAGG
Molecule: ribosomal RNA, 253 nt
Filed under: uncultured bacterium
Lineage: Bacteria
Description: partial 16S ribosomal RNA
Rfam family: Bacterial small subunit ribosomal RNA
Source: RNAcentral